GGGACACCUUGCAUGUGAACCCUUUCUUCCACUGGCAAAUCAGUCCAAAGUCUAAAGGGGCUACGGAUAGGGAGAGUAUUAGGAUAUGGAGAAUUCAUGGUCAAAGUCUUGGUGGGCAACUCAACAAGCAGCUGAGCAACCUCAGUUUCUUCGCUAUUAUUUGUGGUGGCUUUAUUCUUACACUUAUCACAUGCAAAUAAUUUCUCACUCUUGACAUACCGCACACAACGUGUAUGUACCCACACACUGCACUCGUCGCAAUUCACCAUUUCCUCUCCAUCAUCAAAAUUGACACCACACACACAAUCCACUGUCCAUGAACCAUCAAUCCAGUCAUCCUGUGGGUUCGCAACAGGAAGCCGGUGAGACCGGCUCUUCAUGGUUGCAAGGUUGGCUCAACCCUAAGCAAGCAGUGGCUUUAGGCCUAAAACAACAAUUACAAAUCUACGAAAGAAGCAAAAAGCCCCAAAUUCAAAUUCAGUUUUAAAAAAAAACGCAAGGAUAUAUAUCAUGAAUGAAUGAGAAUCAAAGGCGCAUAUAUAUACAAAUCCGAAGCACAGAAAACAAAUAAAUUCGAUUAAACGAAGAAGCACAAGUCGAAAUCACACCCAAAAGCAUAGCAAGGACCGAGUAUAAAGAUGAAGGAAAU
Molecule: unclassified non-coding RNA, 649 nt
Filed under: Hevea brasiliensis (rubber tree)
Lineage: Eukaryota; Viridiplantae; Streptophyta; Magnoliopsida; Malpighiales; Euphorbiaceae
Source: RNAcentral